GCAAUGCAGUUCGUGACGGCUACAACAAAAUGUGCAUAUAAUUUUAUAAAAAUUACACCUCGAUUUCGUGUACUUAUUUAAUAUACAAUUAAAAAUAACAUAACAUUUUAUUAUUUAAAAUAUAAGCGCAUUUGAUUCGUAAAAUUCACCACCACCGCCAACACCUCCACUACGUGCGAAUUAUGGUGUUCGUUAUCGGCAAAUUUUUUUAUGGCUAUUAAGACUUCAUACAUACAUACAUAGUUAUUAUAUAACUUCGCGUAGUGGUGGAAAGAAAUGAAGCGCAAACGGCACGAAAUUGACAUGAGUGGUGAUGGUGGUGGUGGUGGUGUGGUGGGGGUUAACAUCGGUCGCAGAUGGAACAGCGGAGACGCUGGCACGUCGUGGUCUCCUUGGAAACGUUAACCGAAGCCAUUUUCAAGCCAAUAACUAUACAUGUAAAUUUUCUCUCGUUCUCUCUCCUUCAAUUUAUGAAUGCUUCAAUAAGCUAAAAGCGUUUUGUAGCUUUUGCUAUUUCUACUGCUGUAUCACGCCAAGGUAAAGAUAUUUUUUUUCGACAAAACCCAACAACUUUACCAACACGCACAUUCCGGUGAUGGAGCACUGCUUUUAAUUGAAUUAAACAAUAUAAGAAUUUCGUGACAUACAACCCGAUAGCUGUCUUACAAUAAUACCUAUUUACAUUUACCUAUAUAAUAUGUUAUGACUUAUAAUAUUAUAUUAUAUUAUGCAUAAUUUCCAGUUACAGCAGUUACAUGGUUGUGGUUUAUUCAUUUCCGUUGGAGGUAUAUAACAUAAGAGUAUUAUACUGUUUCAUAGUUUAUAAUUUAUGUCUUAUAAGUAUAAGGUUAGUUACAUACCUAACCUAACCUAGUUAUGUGUAUAUUAAAUAACAAAAAUAAUAUCGUUGAAAUAUCCUUUUUUAUAUUCUUUUAAAAGACUUUCUUUAUAUUAGUUCAUAUAACAACAUAAAAAAAGAAACAUUUUUGGUGAGUAUAAGAUUUUUGUCACUUUUAUAGUGCUAUUAUUUUAAUUUAAAAUUUUCUGAUACCUACUUUUUAACUUUAUUAUUUC
Molecule: long non-coding RNA, 1074 nt
Organism: Aphis gossypii (cotton aphid)
Lineage: Eukaryota; Metazoa; Arthropoda; Insecta; Hemiptera; Aphididae
Exons: 3
Source: RefSeq, a predicted model, not a curated record